AACCGGGCGUUAAGUUGCAGGGUAUAGACCCGAAACCCGGUGAUCUAGCCAUGGGCAGGUUGAAGGUUGGGUAACACUAACUGGAGGACCGAACCGACUAAUGUUGAAAAAUUAGCGGAUGACCUGUGGCUGGGGGUGAAAGGCCAAUCAAACCGGGAGAUAGCUGGUUCUCCCCGAAAGCUAUUUAGGUAGCGCCUCGUGAAUUCAUCUCCGGGGGUAGAGCACUGUUUCGGCUAGGGGGCCAUCCCGGCUUACCAACCCGAUGCAAACUGCGAAUACCGGAGAAUGUUAUCACGGGAGACACACGGCGGGUGCUAACGUCCGUCGUGAAGAGGGAAACAACCCAGACCGCCAGCUAAGGUCCCAAAGUCAUGGUUAAGUGGGAAACGAUGUGGGAAGGCCCAGACAGCCAGGAUGUUGGCUUAGAAGCAGCCAUCAUUUAAAGAAAGCGUAAUAGCUCACUGGUCGAGUCGGCCUGCGCGGAAGAUGUAACGGGGCUAAACCAUGCACCGAAGCUGCGGCAGCGACACUGUGUGUUGUUGGGUAGGGGAGCGUUCUGUAAGCCUGUGAAGGUGUGUCGUGAGGCAUGCUGGAGGUAUCAGAAGUGCGAAUGCUGACAUAAGUAACGAUAAAGCGGGUGAAAAGCCCGCUCGCCGGAAGACCAAGGGUUCCUGUCCAACGUUAAUCGGGGCAGGGUGAGUCGACCCCUAAGGCGAGGCCGAAAGGCGUAGUCGAUGGGAAACGGGUUAAUAUUCCCGUACUUGGUGUUACUGCGAAGGGGGGACGGAGAAGGCUAUGUUGGCCGGGCGACGGUUGUCCCGGUUUAAGCGUGUAGGUGUGUGUUCCAGGUAAAUCCGGUUCACUUUAACACUGAGGCGUGACGACGAGGCACUACGGUGCUGAAGCAACAAAUGCCCUGCUUCCAGGAAAAGCCUCUAAGCAUCAGGUAACAUCAAAUCGUACCCCAAACCGACACAGGUGGUCAGGUAGAGAAUACCAAGGCGCUUGAGAGAACUCGGGUGAAGGAACUAGGCAAAAUGGUGCCGUAACUUCGGGAGAAGGCACGCUGACACGUAGGUGAAGUGAUUUACUCAUGGAGCUGAAGUCAGUCGAAGAUACCAGCUGGCUGCAACUGUUUAUUAAAAACACAGCACUGUGCAAACACGAAAGUGGACGUAUACGGUGUGACGCCUGCCCGGUGCCGGAAGGUUAAUUGAUGGGGUCAGCGCAAGCGAAGCUCCUGAUCGAAGCCCCGGUAAACGGCGGCCGUAACUAUAACGGUCCUAAGGUAGCGAAAUUCCUUGUCGGGUAAGUUCCGACCUGCACGAAUGGCGUAAUGAUGGCCAGGCUGUCUCCACCCGAGACUCAGUGAAAUUGAACUCGCUGUGAAGAUGCAGUGUACCCGCGGCAAGACGGAAAGACCCCGUGAACCUUUACUAUAGCUUGACACUGAACAUUGAGCCUUGAUGUGUAGGAUAGGUGGGAGGCUUUGAAGUGUGGACGCCAGUCUGCAUGGAGCCGACCUUGAAAUACCACCCUUUAAUGUUUGAUGUUCUAACGUGGACCCGUUACCCGGGUUGCGGACAGUGUCUGGUGGGUAGUUUGACUGGGGCGGUCUCCUCCUAAAGAGUAACGGAGGAGCACGAAGGUUGGCUAAUCCUGGUCGGACAUCAGGAGGUUAGUGCAAUGGCAUAAGCCAGCUUGACUGCGAGCGUGACGGCGCGAGCAGGUGCGAAAGCAGGUCAUAGUGAUCCGGUGGUUCUGAAUGGAAGGGCCAUCGCUCAACGGAUAAAAGGUACUCCGGGGAUAACAGGCUGAUACCGCCCAAGAGUUCAUAUCGACGGCGGUGUUUGGCACCUCGAUGUCGGCUCAUCACAUCCUGGGGCUGAAGUAGGUCCCAAGGGUAUGGCUGUUCGCCAUUUAAAGUGGUACGCGAGCUGGGUUUAGAACGUCGUGAGACAGUUCGGUCCCUAUCUGCCGUGGGCGCUGGAGAACUGAGGGGGGCUGCUCCUAGUACGAGAGGACCGGAGUGGACGCAUCACUGGUGUUCGGGUUGUCAUGCCAAUGGCACUGCCCGGUAGCUAAAUGCGGAAGAGAUAAGUGCUGAAAGCAUCUAAGCACGAAACUUGCCCCGA
RNAcentral lists this ribosomal RNA (2135 nucleotides) under Salmonella enterica. Its description in RNAcentral is "partial 23S ribosomal RNA". It matches the Rfam family "Bacterial large subunit ribosomal RNA", at positions 686 to 2802 of the family's 2925-position model. The record is from RNAcentral. Lineage: Bacteria; Pseudomonadati; Pseudomonadota; Gammaproteobacteria; Enterobacterales; Enterobacteriaceae.